ACACACCGAGAGUGUAGAGCCGUCAGAAACGUUGGUGUAGCCCGUGUGUUUGGUAACUCGCGUCAAUAUACCGUCUCGUAUACGAUCUCUUGUGUGACACAUGUGACUUGGACCAUUUUUCUGGACGAUUUUCCACAAAAACCCCGGCUUAAGACUACGACCAUAGACGGUCCAGUGACUCUGUGUUCCGAAUCUUCUGUGACUGAACAUGUGGAUGGUUAGAGUAUUGGGUGCUAAGACCAGUGGAAUGGGAAACCUGUGAAUCGAGCAUGAGGAAAAAGUCUUCCCAGGUUUCUUUUUGGCUAUUUUUCGUUUUUAUCGGUUCAGCACAAUGCGUCAGCGUACACUUCGAGAACAAGGACGGAGGCUUCUUCCUCCGUCAAAUUGCCCGUCAGCACAUGGCCACCGAGGCGCCGUUCCUGAGCACCAACUCUGCGGCGCCGCUGUCCAUCGACAGGUUCACGGUGUUCCAGAGCUCGCAGCCCAUAUCCAUAAGGGCAACCUACGGGCCCUUCAGCACCAAGCAGACCGUACCUGCAAGGUACGUGGUGCCGGAUCCACUUCCUGUGAACACAGUGGGUCCAACGAUAGACCUCCAAGACCUCACUACACACCAUCUAGACGUCUCAGCACACAUAGUACGAACAGAGAUACCACGUGACUCUCCAGUCCUCAGGGUCUUGUUCCACACAGGGACAGAUCCGGGCAGUAGACGCCAAGUGCUGGUGGACAGGCAUCAUCAGAAGGUCUGCAUCGUGCUCCACGCUACCAUGAACCAGAAACCUUCGUUGCACGCUGCCUGUAGUCCAGACGGUGAAGACGGAGUUUGUCUGGCCCAGAUCACGGUUCCCUUCUCCUAUUGGCCCAACUUGCCGUCACCCGACAAGAACGGCAGACCAGGUAAAGCUACGAAAUCUCCUCCAAGGGUGCUGCAGGUCUCCUACUCCGUUCUGGAGACGAGGCCUGAUGAGCAAGGAGCUUGCCAUCCCGAAGUACAGAUUCAACCUAGCACCCCUAUAGGAGUGGUACACCUGGUGGUAGCUAGAGGGGCCUACAAGGAACUGAAGUUGACAGAAGACAUUACUAUGUUGGUGCCACAUCCGCCAUUAUUUCCAAUGAGCAGGAUACAUGUGCCAGUGUUUGUGGACAGGCAGAAAGCUAGAUUGAUGACUGCCAUAGUUAUAAGGGGUCGCGUGAAGAGCGGCCUGAAGAUACUGGAGGCCACGGCCGCAUCGGACGCCGCUGCUUGGAAUCUGACCGUCGACAUAAAUCCCAGACACACUGGCGCAACGGUGACCCUCGUCAGAAGGGAGCCCCCUGACGCAGAAGGAGUAGCCGGAACCCCUGGAGGAGAGGUUUUGGAACUUUUCACUUGGCUGGUAGAGGUGAGCGAGGAUGCAACAGAACUUUACGAAGGGACAAGGAUAGUGUGGACAGCUCGUUACGAGCCACAUCAAGACGAUCAAGAUGGCGCUGACACUCACAGGACUGAAGGAAAGAAAUCUACGACGCGAUUCGAAGUGCAGAAAGAUGACAUACAAGCCGUUGUUCCCAUCAGUAAGAACUGGGAGGUGCUGAACACGGCAGUGCUGACAGGCAGACAGGUUUCCCAGGCCAUGAAAAUUUUCAUAGUUUCCCAGGCGGGCAAGGCAGCUGACGUGACGUUCCAGGCUUCCUGCUACUCGGAGGACGACAGCGUCCUGAAGGUAUCUUCGUCUUGUAGCUCGGUUUAUGUAGAUGGCAGUGAAGCCAGAGGCUCAGUCAAUGGAUCCGUUCUUGUUAAAUAUGGAACAUACACAGGGUUGGCCAGGUUUACCGUCUGGAUGCCUGAGUUUCCUCUAGACCUCCAGGUGGCCGAUUUCAGACUGUCACAGAUAAAAUCUUGGAGAGUUCCAGAUACUCACCCCAGCAACACCAAGACUAGGCGAAAGAAGAGAUCUUACGGCACCUCCUGGUCAAGCAGCAGCAGUAUAGGUGGUGAGGACCUGGGGAACGUCGUGGAGAAGCCCUUCUGCAGGCUUAGAUAUCAGCAGACGCCAGUGGACGUUUACGCUCACUUCAUGGCCGUAGACCACGAAUCUGGAAGGGUGAGUUACCUCAUCAAUAGGAGAACCUGGUUGAGAGUUACGGACCUGGUGCUUCCCUUACUUCGCGUUAGCGACCUCAGGAUAGCAAGUCUGCACGGAAGAAUACUUCAAGGUCGGAGCAUGGGACGCACGGAAGUUCAGGUGCUAUCGCCGAUCACAGGCAGAGUGAUAGGCGCCAAAGAGAUUCGAGUGGUCAACGACAAAGUAGGAAUCUCCAAACUAUCAGUGGAGGUAGUUUCAGGUCUCCAAUUGAACAUAUCUCCAGACAGCUCCAUCGAGAAUGGCUACGUGGCAGAAACCAGCGUUACCAGGAAACUCACAGCACAAUACCAGGAAGGCCUGCUAGACAUCGAGUUGGAGUUUUCAGAUGGAACCAAAACACCCUUAAGGGAUAUAGCGGACAGCGAUUACCAUCUGCUGGUAGACAGUACAGACCCUGAAGUGGUUGCCUUUGCACCAAUGGUGGCGUCCCAUCAUCCCAGAGUGAUAGCGGUUGGUGAGGGAAAUGGAGACCUUCUCCAAGUGACCCUCUUGCUGUCUGAAGAAUGUCGGAUGUCCUCCAGGUCUAAGGUUAAGAGUGCCGGUCCUUUGGCUCAAGCCUCUGCGAAUGUUGUGGUCGACUUCAGUUCCAGCGAUCUAGCUCACAGGCCUGACAUCUUGCAGAAUGAUGGAGGGGUUUUUGGUGGCACCAAAGGGUUGUCUUUAGAUCACCAGGAUAUUCUGAAUGGAAACUCCAUGAAAGAAGACUUGGGUCAGAUACCGAAUGUACAAGCUCGUAAGUACAGUUCGACCAAGAACAGUAAUAAGAGACGUCAUGAUGAUAUGAACCCUCUGGAGAUCAGCAUGUAUGUCCUACUGACUGCCUUCUGCUGCGCCAUUGUUGUUUUCGUCAUAUCCUGCGUAGUCUACGCGUCGAAAUACAAGCAACUGGACCAGAGCGUAACCCAAGGCGUUAGAGCAUCUCCGAUAUCACCCAGCGGUGUGCAAAAAGACUACAAUCGCAAGAGAGAAACCGUGACCAACGCCCACGAUUGGGUAUGGCUGGGACGUUCUACCGUGGACAGCUCGAACAGGAACUCAACGGUCCACAACGGUACCGCUGGUACCGAGAUAAGGAUAACUGCCAACCCGCUGAACGCCAACUACUUCGAUCCUGAUGACGCACUGGCUAACAGCUUCAGCAAUCCCACCCACAUCGAACUGCCUAGCGCUAACGCCUCUAGGACGGUCGAUAGUACCACUUACAGCAGGAGCAAAUUGGCUGCAGGAGCUCCCAAGGAAGAUUGUCGAAAUUGGACUAAACCAACAGCGCCUCCACCUCUGCCACCUCAUGGAAUACCUUCGGAAGCUGCAGUGGUGUCACCACCACCUUCUUACGACAAAACAGUGCUGGCUUCCACAUCUGAAGAGUACCGACCACCUGUACCUCCUCAUAGAAAUCUCUCAACACCCAUUCCCCCAAUAGAAAAUCAAAAUCCCCUUAAGAAGCACCAUCACCGUCACCAUCACCACAACAGGAAUUCGAGUGAGGGUAAACUGCAACCCAGGCUAGCCAACGAUAACGCCUGCAACCAACCCAUCACCGAGUACAACAGACCAUCAGACCCCAACAUAGUAAACAGAGAGUACGGUUUGAGAGAUUUCACCCCCAGCAACCGUUCAAGCGAAGACGAAGUCCAAGAUUUCGUCUCCGCCGUAAACGGCAACAACUUGAACGCCUUCGAAUUCGACGACGAGCCCAGCGACGUCCCCAGCCCUCCUGAAGAGGUCAAGAUGAGACCGAAACCAGCGGACAAGGAGGAGGAGGUGCAGUUCGUCCAAUACCCUGGAGAAGCCAGCCAGAACAGAAACGCUAGGAACAGUGCCGAAAUAAAGCGGGCAACGAUCGUGGGCAAUCCGAUGUUCAGCAACAAGGAGCAGGACCAGACCAAUUCGACAACACCGCAGGCUGACCUCCCAGGAUUGGACGAUCUUCAGUUGGACAUGGAUUACGAUCAGAUCAUGCACUAUUUUGAGAAUUUAAAGGAAUCGAACGCCUGAGUAGAAGCGAUCAUUGCAAGGAUCCGUGACAUACUAUUGUCAUUCAGCGAGCAGUACAGAGCAUGCGCCCUAAACGGGAACCUAAACAGUCCUGACAUUGUCGCAAACGCGAAUGAAAGUUUCGAGUACUUCUUCGACUAUCUCAGCGAGUCAUAUGCCUAACCAGCCAGCUGUGUGAGCAACACCUGGAUUUGAACGCAUGGCCAAAAAUUUAUUCGGCAUAUGAUUCUGCCGGAUUCCAAAAAAUGAACAGAUUUCCUAAUUCAUUUACGCUUCUGUUCAUUUCUUCGAUGGACGUUUUCUUUUUCUUCGCAAGAAUGGGUAAUACAACGAAGUGUCUAUAUAUACAUGGAUAUUUGCAGUGAUCGAAAAAAAAAAUAUCUAGUCAAUAACUUAUACUAAGCUUUAUAUUUUAAAAUAAUAGUGUAAUAAAUGUAUUCCGAAAGGAUGCCUCCAAUAUAAAAUGUUUAAAUUUGCACAAAUAUGGUUCCUGGUAUUACGAAAGAACAAUUCUAUAUUUAAAGAUUUUCAAUUAAUCGAUAUUGUUUAUGAUGACAAAUAUGAUGGAGAAAUGAUCAACAAUAGUCGAAAUAAUCUACAGUUUCGAAGUUACCACUCAAUACUCAAAAUUCAUAAAAAAAAAAAUUUAAUACAUAAAAAUUUUCUGAAAAAAUUUCUUCAUCAUAUGUUGCGAGAUAUUUAUUUUUAGUUAUGUAAAUUUGUGUAAACUUGUAUAUAAACUAGAUGUAAAUCCCUGACUGAUACUUGAAAAGGGAAAUAAUAUGUUGGUUGCGCCCAACAAGUAUUACUAUACUGAUGCUUCUUGGAUCAGUGAUUAUUUUUCUGUUCUAUAUUUAUAAAAAUAAGCACACAAAUAUGACAAAAUAUUUGUUUAUUCGGUAACGAUAGACUGCUUAGAAUAUUAAUAUUUAAGGAAACAUUAUUUUCUAGUCUUGAAAAAAAAUCUGUAUGAAAUAUUAAAUGUAGCAUUACUUGAACUUGAAUGUUAGUGAGCUUUCAAAUUGAAAAAUGCUUUCAUUUUGUAAAGCGAUGUACCUAUAUUUAUUCCAGUCGAUCCCUACCGUUCACUGAUGGACUGACAAUUCAAAUUUGAUUCAAGUAAAACAUGCAGUUGGUGUUUU
RNA transcript from Harmonia axyridis, 5269 nucleotides. It is a transcript of the gene named transmembrane protein 132E, with no coding region annotated. Lineage: Eukaryota; Metazoa; Arthropoda; Insecta; Coleoptera; Coccinellidae. The transcript has 18 exons. The record is from RefSeq and is a predicted model, not a curated record.